RNAcentral lists this ribosomal RNA (468 nucleotides) under uncultured bacterium. RNAcentral's name for it is "partial 16S ribosomal RNA". It matches the Rfam family "Bacterial small subunit ribosomal RNA", at positions 28 to 507 of the family's 1533-position model. The record is from RNAcentral.
GACGAACGCUGGCGGCGUGCUUAACACAUGCAAGUCGAACGGAAAGGCCCUGCUUUUGUGGUGUGCUCGAGUGGCGAACGGGUGAGUAACACGUGAGUAACCUGCCCUUGACUUUGGGAUAACUUCAGGAAACUGGGGCUAAUACCGGAUCGGAUCUCCUGCUGCAUGGUGGGGGUUGGAAAGUUUCGGCGGUUGGGGAUGGACUCGCGGCUUAUCAGCUUGUUGGUGGGGUAGUGGCUUACCAAGGCUUUGAAGGGUAGCCGGCCUGAGAGGGUGACCGGCCACAGUGGGACUGAGAUACGGCCCAGACGCCUACGGGAGGCAGCAGUGGGGAAUAUUGCACAAUGGGCGGAAGCCUGAUGAAGCAACGCCGCGUGCGGGAUGACGGCCUUCGGGUUGUAAACCGCUGUCGCCUGUGACGAAGCGUGAGUGACGGUAAUGGGUAAAGAAGCACCGGCUAACUACGUG